UACCUGGUUGAUCCUGCCAGUAAUCAUAUGCUUGUCUCAAAGAUUAAGCCAUGCAUGUCUAAGUACAUGCCGAAAUAAGGCGAAACCGCGAAUGGCUCAUUAAAUCAGUUAUGGUUCCUUAGAUCGUUUCUUCCUACUUGGAUAACUGUGGCAAUUCUAGAGCUAAUACAUGCAGUGAGCCUGAAGCCCUUUGGGCGACGGGUGCUUUUAUUAGACCAAGAUCGAUCGGGUUUCGGCCCGUAUUGUGUGGUGACUCUGGAUAACUUUGUGCUGAUCGCAUGGCCACGAGCCGGCGACGUUUCUUUCAAGUGUCUGCCUUAUCAACUUUCGAUGGUAGGUUACUUGCUUACCAUGGUUGUUACGGGUAACGGAGAAUCAGGGUUCGAUUCCGGAGAGGGAGCCUGAGAAACGGCUACCACAUCCAAGGAAGGCAGCAGGCGCGCAAAUUACCCACUCCCGGCACGGGGAGGUAGUGACGAAAAAUAACAAUACGGGACUCUUUUGAGGCCCCGUAAUUGAAAUGAGUACACUCUAAAUCCUUUAACGAGGAUCAAUUGGAGGGCAAGUCUGGUGCCAGCAGCCGCGGUAAUUCCAGCUCCAAUAGCGUAUACUAAAGCUGCUGCGGUUAAAAAGCUCGUAGUUGGAUCUCAGUUCCAGACGAGUAGUGCAUCUACCCGAUGCGACGGCUCGGACUGAACAUCAUGCCGGUCCUUUCUUGGUGCACUUCAUUGUGUGCCUCGAGAAGGCCGGUGCUUUUACUUUGAAAAAAUUAGAGUGCUCAACGCAGGCGAGUCGCCUGAAUAAACUUGCAUGGAAUAAUAGAACAAGACCUCGUUUCUGUUCUGUUGGUUUUUGGAAUACGAGGUAAUGAUUAAGAGGGACAGACGGGGGCAUUCGUAUUGCGGCGCUAGAGGUGAAAUUCUUGGACCGUCGCAAGACGAACUACUGCGAAAGCAUUUGCCAAGAAUGUUUUCUUUGAUCAAGAACGAAAGUCAGAGGUUCGAAGGCGAUCAGAUACCGCCCUAGUUCUGACCAUAAACGAUGCCAACCAGCGAUCCGCCUGAGUUACUCAAAUGACUCGGCGGGCAGCUUCCGGGAAACCAAAGUGUUUGGGUUCCGGGGGAAGUAUGGUUGCAAAGCUGAAACUUAAAGGAAUUGACGGAAGGGCACCACCAGGAGUGGAGCCUGCGGCUUGAUUUGACUCAACACGGGAAAACUUACCCGGCCCGGACACUGGGAGGAUUGACAGAUUGAGAGCUCUUUCUUGAUUCGGUGGAUGGUGGUGCAUGGCCGUUCUUAGUUGGUGGAGCGAUUUGUCUGGUUAAUUCCGAUAACGAACGAGACUCUAGCCUAUUAAAUAGGUGCGGGGUUCCCAGCACCUUACAACCUUCUUAGAGGGACAAGCGGCUCCUAGCCGCACGAAACAGAGCAAUAACAGGUCUGUGAUGCCCUUAGAUGUCCGGGGCCGCACGCGCGCUACACUGAAGGAAGCAGCGUGUCUUUAUCCCUGUCUGAAAAGACUGGGUAACCCGUGGAACUUCUUUCGUGAUUGGGAUAGGGGCUUGCAAUUGUUCCCCUUGAACGAGGAAUUCCCAGUAAGCGCGAGUCAUAAGCUCGCGUUGAUUACGUCCCUGCCCUUUGUACACACCGCCCGUCGCUACUACCGAUUGAAUGAUUUAGUGAGGUCUUCGGACCGAUGUCCGGCGCGGCCUUUCGGUUGCGCCGGUCUGUUGGAAAGAUGACCAAACUUGAUCAUUUAGAGGAAGUAAAAGUCGUAACAAGGUUUCCGUAGGUGAACCUGCGGAAGGAUCAUUA
This 1815-nucleotide ribosomal RNA is filed under the name Dermacentor andersoni. Its description in RNAcentral is "small subunit ribosomal RNA". It matches the Rfam family "Eukaryotic small subunit ribosomal RNA". Lineage: Eukaryota; Metazoa; Arthropoda; Arachnida; Ixodida; Ixodidae. The record is from RNAcentral.